UCUACUUCGGAGAGUUGUGGGAGUUUAAUUUUCACGAUGGGUAGAAAACAUCCUUUAGCUAAUUUCUUGAUUCUCCUCUUGAACUUGGGUACGUUGCUAUCUUCUUUAGCAUGUCCAUAUUGCCCUUAUCCUACUCCUCCCCCUCCGUGUCCCCCAACAUUUCCACCAAAACACCCUCCACAUGUAAAGCCACCUUUCCACCCCAAACCACCGCAUCACAAGCCACCCCAUGUCAAACCACCGCACAAGCCCCCGUAUGUUCCUAAACCACCUUAUUCCCCAAGCCCUAAACCGCCUUACGUGCCAAAACCACCUCAUACUCCAGUCCCUAGGCCACCAUAUUUCCCCAAACCACCUUACACACCAAGGCCUAAGCCACCAUAUGCGCCAAAACCACCUUAUACGCCAACCCCUAAGCCACCAUAUUUCCCCAAACCACCUUACACACCAAGGCCGAAGCCACCAUAUGUGCCAAAACCACCUUAUACGCCAGCCCCUAAGCCACCAUAUUUUCCCAAACCACCUUACACACCAAGGCCUAAGCCACCAUAUGCACCAAAACCACCUUAUACGCCAACACCUAAGCCACCAUAUUUCCCCAAACCACCUUACACACCAAGGCCUAAGCCACCGUACGUGCCAAAACCACCGUACACACCAAGGCCUAAGCCACCGUACGUGCCAAAACCACCAUACACACCAACCCCUAAGCCACCGUACGUGCCAAAACCACCUUACACCCCAACCCCUAAGCCACCGUACGUGCCAAAACCACCGUAUACCCCAACUCCUAAGCCACCGUACGUCCCAUCGCCACCUUAUACCCCUCGCCCUAAACCACCGUAUGUACCAUCACCACCUUAUACCCCUAGCCCUAAACCACCGUAUGUGCCAUCACCACCAUAUACCCCAAGCCCUACCCCACCAUAUGUACCAUCACCACCGUAUACCCCAAGCCCACCAUAUGUACCAUCACCACCGUAUACCCCAAGCCCUAGCCCACCACCACCACCAAGUGGAACACCGUGUCCUCCGCCGCCGCCACCAAAGGUGAGACCGUACCCUCCACCACCAUCACAAACUUGUCCCAUUGAUACUCUCAAGCUUGGUGCAUGCGUCGACGUGUUGGGCGGUCUAAUACACAUCGGUAUAGGCAGCAGUGCAAAGGACGCUUGCUGCCCCGUGCUGCAGGGGCUACUGGACUUGGAUG
Molecule: long non-coding RNA, 1210 nt
Filed under: Citrus maxima (pomelo)
Lineage: Eukaryota; Viridiplantae; Streptophyta; Magnoliopsida; Sapindales; Rutaceae
Description: long non-coding RNA (CMAX_LNC002831)
Source: RNAcentral